AUUUAGAGGCCAAGAUAGACAGCAGGAAACACCUGUGUCUUCUGCACUUAUCCAUCUUGCAUCCUGAGGCAGUUCUUCCAGUAACUGCAGUAAAGACAUCUUCAAAUACAAAAACUGUUCAGACUCAGUCCCGUGGAAUUGAUCUUCAAUGUAUCCAUGAGAGGAGCCUUUUUUAUACCAGACGUGUCAGUGGGAAAAUGACCUGGAGCCAUUCUGUUAGGCUUCUGUUUAUGAUCAGUUUGAUAUUACAGACCAUCCCCAUGGGAAACAGCUGUCAUACAGGGAAAUAUAAAAUUAGUAGAGAAGAAAGCAGCAGUGGUAAAGCUCAGAAGUUCCAGCAGAAAACACUCAACUGGACCUUGAAUAAUUUAAGGGAGGAGAAUGACAGCACAGAGGGCU
Molecule: non-coding RNA, 399 nt
Organism: Odocoileus virginianus texanus
Lineage: Eukaryota; Metazoa; Chordata; Mammalia; Artiodactyla; Cervidae
Source: RefSeq, a predicted model, not a curated record